RNAcentral lists this ribosomal RNA (492 nucleotides) under uncultured bacterium. RNAcentral's name for it is "partial 16S ribosomal RNA". It matches the Rfam family "Bacterial small subunit ribosomal RNA", at positions 29 to 507 of the family's 1533-position model. The record is from RNAcentral.
AGUGAACGCUGGCGGUAGGCCUAACACAUGCAAGUCGAACGGCAGCACAGUAAGAGCUUGCUCUUACGGGUGGCGAGUGGCGGACGGGUGAGGAAUACAUCGGAAUCUACUUUUUCGUGGAGGAUAACGUAGGGAAACUUACGCUAAUACCGCAUACGACCUACGGGUGAAAGCAGGGGAUCUUCGGACCUUGCGCGAUUGAAUGAGCCGAUGUCGGAUUAGCUAGUUGGCGGGGUAAAGGCCCACCAAGGCGACGAUCCGUAGCUGGUCUGAGAGGAUGAUCAGCCACACUGGAACUGAGACACGGUCCAGACUCCUACGGGAGGCAGCAGUGGGGAAUAUUGGACAAUGGGCGCAAGCCUGAUCCAGCCAUACCGCGUGGGUGAAGAAGGCCUUCGGGUUGUAAAGCCCUCUUGUUGGGAAAGAAAAGCAGCAGGUUAAUACCCCGCUGUUCUGACGGUACCCAAAGAAUAAGCACCGGCUAACUUCGUG